Molecule: ribosomal RNA, 897 nt
Filed under: Hodophilus foetens
Lineage: Eukaryota; Fungi; Basidiomycota; Agaricomycetes; Agaricales; Clavariaceae
Description: LSU rRNA
Rfam family: Eukaryotic large subunit ribosomal RNA
Source: RNAcentral
AGAUUCCCCUAGUAACUGCGAGUGAAGAGGGAAGAGCUCAAAUUUAAAAUCUGGCSGUCUCUGGCUGUCCGAGUUGUAAAUUAGAGAAGUGUUAUCCGCUCAAGCCUGUGCAAAAGUCUCUUGGAAAAGGGCAUCAUAGAGGGUGACAAUCCCGUCUUUGGCACAGAUCACUUGCGCUUUUGUGAUGCGCUCUCGAUGAGUCGAGUUGUUUGGGAAUGCAGCUCUAAAUGGGUGGUAAAUUCCAUCUAAAGCUAAAUAUGGGCGAGAAACCGAUAGCGAACAAGUACCGUGAGGGAAAGAUGAAAAGCACUUUGAAAAGAGAGUCAAACAGUAUGUGAAAUUGUUGAAAGGGAAACGCUUGAAGUCAGUCGUAUCCUUCAGAAAUCAACCUGACCUUUGGCUGGGUGCAUUUUUUGUUGGAUGGGUCAGCAUCAAUUUUGAUCAUUGGAUAAAGGACUUGGGAAUGUGGCAUCUUUGGAUGUGUUAUAGCCUCUGUUUGUAUACAAUGAUUGGGAUUGAGGAACUCAGUGUGACUUUGGUUUGGAGGUAUUGCACCUCACACACGCACUUAGGAUGCUGGCAUAAUGGCUUUAAUCGACCCGUCUUGAAACACGGACCAAGGAGUCUAACAUGCAUGCGAGUGUUUGGGUGGAAAACUCAAGCGCGCAAUGAAAGUGAAAGUUGAGAACCCCUUUGGGGUGCAUCGACGCCCGGACUUGAUCUUUUGUGACGGACCUGCGGUAGAGCAUGUAUGUUGGGACCCGAAAGAUGGUGAACUAUGCCUGAAUAGGGUGAAGUCAGAGGAAACUCUGAUGGAAGCUCGUAGCGAUUCUGACGUGCAAAUCGAUCGUCAAUUUGGGUAUAGGGGCGAAGACUAAUCGAACCAUCUAGUAGCUG